Sapajus apella (tufted capuchin) is the source of this 150-nucleotide long non-coding RNA. RefSeq lists it as uncharacterized. NCBI's taxonomy places the organism in Eukaryota, Metazoa, Chordata, Mammalia, Primates, Cebidae. The record is from RefSeq and is a predicted model, not a curated record. The transcript is spliced from 2 exons.
AGCCGGGCAUGGUGGCGCGUGCCUGUAAUCCCAGCUACUCAGGAGGCUGAGGCAGGAGAAUUGCCUGAACCCGGGAGGCGGAGUUUGCAGUAAUCUGAGACCACACUGUUGCACUCCUGCCUGGGAGACAGAGUGAAACUCCUUCUCAAU